GCCGGGCACGGUGGCGCGUGCCUGUAAUCCCAGCUACUCAGGAGGUUGAGGCAGGAGAAUCGCUUGAACCCAGGAGGCAGAGGUUGCAGUGAACCAGGAUCGCGCCACUGCACUCCAGCCUGGGCAACACAGUGAGACUCUGUCUCAU
RNAcentral lists this signal recognition particle RNA (148 nucleotides) under Pan troglodytes (chimpanzee). Its description in RNAcentral is "Metazoan signal recognition particle RNA". It matches the Rfam family "Metazoan signal recognition particle RNA". Rfam says of the family: The signal recognition particle (SRP) is a universally conserved ribonucleoprotein. It is involved in the co-translational targeting of proteins to membranes. Lineage: Eukaryota; Metazoa; Chordata; Mammalia; Primates; Hominidae. The record is from Rfam by way of RNAcentral.